CUACGGGCCGCUCCAGUCGGGAAUCUUUUACAAUGCACGAAAGUGUGAUAAAGCGAGCCAGAGUGUCUUUCUUAUUUGAAAGACUUUUGUCAGCUGCAAAAAGGCUGACGAAUAAGGACUGGGCAAGACCGGUGCCAGCCGCCGCGGUGAUACCGGCGGUCCAAGUUGCAGCCAUCAUUAUUGGGUCUAAAACAUCCGUAGCUUGUUUUGCAAGUCUCCUGUGAAAUCUUGUCUCUUAAGGGCAAGGCGUGCAGGAGAUACUGCAUUGCUAGAGACCGGAAGACGUAACGAGUACAGUUGAGGUAGUGGUAAAAUACGUUAAUCUUGACUGGACUAACAAUGGCGAAGGCACGUUACGAGGACGGUUCUGACAGUGAGGGAUGAAGGCCCGGGUCGCAAAACGGAUUAGAUACCCCCGUAGUC
This 423-nucleotide ribosomal RNA is filed under the name uncultured archaeon. RNAcentral's name for it is "partial 16S ribosomal RNA". It matches the Rfam family "Archaeal small subunit ribosomal RNA", at positions 323 to 746 of the family's 1478-position model. The record is from RNAcentral.